RNAcentral lists this ribosomal RNA (301 nucleotides) under uncultured bacterium. RNAcentral's name for it is "partial 16S ribosomal RNA". It matches the Rfam family "Bacterial small subunit ribosomal RNA", at positions 509 to 809 of the family's 1533-position model. The record is from RNAcentral.
CAGUCGCCGCGGGAAUACGUAGGGUGCAAGCGUUAAUCGGAAUUACUGGGCGUAAAGCGUGCGCAGGCGGUUAGAUAAGCCAGAUGUGAAAUCCCCGAGCUCAACUUGGGAACUGCGUUUGGAACUGUUUAACUAGAGUGCGUCAGAGGGGGGUGGAAUUCCGCGUGUAGCAGUGAAAUGCGUUGAGAUCGGAAGGAACGCCCGUGGCGAAAGCGAGGCCCUGGACCUUUUCUGACGCUGAGACGCGAAAGCCUGGGGAGCGAACGGGAUUAGAUACCCGAGUAGUCCCUGUCUUUUAUAC